GGUUAAGCGACUAAGCGUACACGGUGGAUGCCCUGGCAGUCAGAGGCGAUGAAGGACGUGCUAAUCUGCGAUAAGCGUCGGUAAGGUGAUAUGAACCGUUAUAACCGGCGAUUUCCGAAUGGGGAAACCCAGUGUGUUUCGACACACUAUCAUUAACUGAAUCCAUAGGUUAAUGAGGCGAACCGGGGGAACUGAAACAUCUAAGUACCCCGAGGAAAAGAAAUCAACCGAGAUUCCCCCAGUAGCGGCGAGCGAACGGGGAGCAGCCCAGAGCCUGAAUCAGUGUGUGUGUUAGUGGAAGCGUCUGGAAAGGCGCGCGAUACAGGGUGACAGCCCCGUACACAAAAAUGCACAUGCUGUGAGCUCGAUGAGUAGGGCGGGACACGUGGUAUCCUGUCUGAAUAUGGGGGGACCAUCCUCCAAGGCUAAAUACUCCUGACUGACCGAUAGUGAACCAGUACCGUGAGGGAAAGGCGAAAAGAACCCCGGCGAGGGGAGUGAAAAAGAACCUGAAACCGUGUACGUACAAGCAGUGGGAGCACAGAGCAAUCUGUGUGACUGCGUACCUUUUGUAUAAUGGGUCAGCGACUUAUAUUCUGUAGCAAGGUUAACCGAAUAGGGGAGCCGAAGGGAAACCGAGUCUUAACUGGGCGUUAAGUUGCAGGGUAUAGACCCGAAACCCGGUGAUCUAGCCAUGGGCAGGUUGAAGGUUGGGUAACACUAACUGGAGGACCGAACCGACUAAUGUUGAAAAAUUAGCGGAUGACUUGUGGCUGGGGGUGAAAGGCCAAUCAAACCGGGAGAUAGCUGGUUCUCCCCGAAAGCUAUUUAGGUAGCGCCUCGUGAAUUCAUCUCCGGGGGUAGAGCACUGUUUCGGCAAGGGGGUCAUCCCGACUUACCAACCCGAUGCAAACUGCGAAUACCGGAGAAUGUUAUCACGGGAGACACACGGCGGGUGCUAACGUCCGUCGUGAAGAGGGAAACAACCCAGACCGCCAGCUAAGGUCCCAAAGUCAUGGUUAAGUGGGAAACGAUGUGGGAAGGCCCAGACAGCCAGGAUGUUGGCUUAGAAGCAGCCAUCAUUUAAAGAAAGCGUAAUAGCUCACUGGUCGAGUCGGCCUGCGCGGAAGAUGUAACGGGGCUAAACCAUGCACCGAAGCUGCGGCAGCGACGCUGAUGCGUUGUUGGGUAGGGGAGCGUUCUGUAAGCCUGCGAAGGUGUGCUGUGAGGCAUGCUGGAGGUAUCAGAAGUGCGAAUGCUGACAUAAGUAACGAUAAAGCGGGUGAAAAGCCCGCUCGCCGGAAGACCAAGGGUUCCUGUCCAACGUUAAUCGGGGCAGGGUGAGUCGACCCCUAAGGCGAGGCCGAAAGGCGUAGUCGAUGGGAAACAGGUUAAUAUUCCUGUACUUGGUGUUACUGCGAAGGGGGGACGGAGAAGGCUAUGUUGGCCGGGCGACGGUUGUCCCGGUUUAAGCGUGUAGGCUGGUUUUCCAGGCAAAUCCGGAAAAUCAAGGCUGAGGCGUGAUGACGAGGCACUACGGUGCUGAAGCAACAAAUGCCCUGCUUCCAGGAAAAGCCUCUAAGCAUCAGGUAACAUCAAAUCGUACCCCAAACCGACACAGGUGGUCAGGUAGAGAAUACCAAGGCGCUUGAGAGAACUCGGGUGAAGGAACUAGGCAAAAUGGUGCCGUAACUUCGGGAGAAGGCACGCUGAUAUGUAGGUGAAGUCCCUCGCGGAUGGAGCUGAAAUCAGUCGAAGAUACCAGCUGGCUGCAACUGUUUAUUAAAAACACAGCACUGUGCAAACACGAAAGUGGACGUAUACGGUGUGACGCCUGCCCGGUGCCGGAAGGUUAAUUGAUGGGGUUAGCGCAAGCGAAGCUCUUGAUCGAAGCCCCGGUAAACGGCGGCCGUAACUAUAACGGUCCUAAGGUAGCGAAAUUCCUUGUCGGGUAAGUUCCGACCUGCACGAAUGGCGUAAUGAUGGCCAGGCUGUCUCCACCCGAGACUCAGUGAAAUUGAACUCGCUGUGAAGAUGCAGUGUACCCGCGGCAAGACGGAAAGACCCCGUGAACCUUUACUAUAGCUUGACACUGAACAUUGAGCCUUGAUGUGUAGGAUAGGUGGGAGGCUUUGAAGUGUGGACGCCAGUCUGCAUGGAGCCGACCUUGAAAUACCACCCUUUAAUGUUUGAUGUUCUAACGUUGACCCGUAAUCCGGGUUGCGGACAGUGUCUGGUGGGUAGUUUGACUGGGGCGGUCUCCUCCUAAAGAGUAACGGAGGAGCACGAAGGUUGGCUAAUCCUGGUCGGACAUCAGGAGGUUAGUGCAAUGGCAUAAGCCAGCUUGACUGCGAGCGUGACGGCGCGAGCAGGUGCGAAAGCAGGUCAUAGUGAUCCGGUGGUUCUGAAUGGAAGGGCCAUCGCUCAACGGAUAAAAGGUACUCCGGGGAUAACAGGCUGAUACCGCCCAAGAGUUCAUAUCGACGGCGGUGUUUGGCACCUCGAUGUCGGCUCAUCACAUCCUGGGGCUGAAGUAGGUCCCAAGGGUAUGGCUGUUCGCCAUUUAAAGUGGUACGCGAGCUGGGUUUAGAACGUCGUGAGACAGUUCGGUCCCUAUCUGCCGUGGGCGCUGGAGAACUGAGGGGGGCUGCUCCUAGUACGAGAGGACCGGAGUGGACGCAUCACUGGUGUUCGGGUUGUCAUGCCAAUGGCACUGCCCGGUAGCUAAAUGCGGAAGAGAUAAGUGCUGAAAGCAUCUAAGCACGAAACUUGCCCCGAGAUGAGUUCUCCCUGACUCCUUGAGAGUCCUGAAGGAACGUUGAAGACGACGACGUUGAUAGGCCGGGUGUGUAAGCGCAGCGAUGCGUUGAGCUAACCGGUACUAAUGAACCGUGAGGCUUAACCUU
This 2906-nucleotide ribosomal RNA is filed under the name Escherichia coli. Its description in RNAcentral is "23S ribosomal RNA". It matches the Rfam family "Bacterial large subunit ribosomal RNA". The record is from RNAcentral. Lineage: Bacteria; Pseudomonadati; Pseudomonadota; Gammaproteobacteria; Enterobacterales; Enterobacteriaceae.